Molecule: long non-coding RNA, 2132 nt
Filed under: Paramuricea clavata
Lineage: Eukaryota; Metazoa; Cnidaria; Anthozoa; Malacalcyonacea; Plexauridae
Source: RNAcentral
UCGUAUUUCCGGUUGGGAUUAACUCACUUCGAGCUCACAGUCGGGCAAGAAAUAAAAAUAUAUUGAUAAAAGAUACAGAUUUGAAGAUACAGGCUUGCAAAUAACACUCUAAGUAGUGUUUUUAAUGGGGAUUUUAACAAGACUAUUACAAAGACGAUAUGUUCGAAGGGGCCGAAGUUAUUUUCGGCAAAAGGUAUGGCUAGUCUAUAUUUUUGUUCAGACAAUUGCGUAAUUUGAUACAAUAUGAUCGUGUUUGACUUCAAAGGCCCAUAAAUCGCUACAAUGUUGAUAAUGACUAUAACUAUAGGGAGGAAUUAGUUGAAUCUUUUCUUUCUGAAUCGAAUGGUGGUAUUUCUGUCUUCAUAGCAUGCACUGAACCGAAGAUAUUAAAUAUCUUGCAGAAAGCAGCAAAGAUCGCGAAAGUUAACAUCAGAGAACAGUUGAAGGACGAUUAAAGGGGUUCUGGUCUUUUCUUUAAUUUAUCAUCAUUGUCUUCAGUACUUUCAUUGUCUCUUCCUUGAUCUUCCUUAACCACGCUCCUUAUCUCCAAAGGACAUACUAGCUGAACAGGUCGUUUCAAAUAGUUACCUUUAUGUAAUACAAUAACUCCUCUAAUUACACCGUCCUUUCCUUUCACGUACUUCACAACUUUGCCUUUCAUCCACCGUUCUCGGUUCUUUUCGUCCAAAUCUCCGGUUUGCAUAUUGUCCUCGUCAGUCCCACUCUUCACCAACUUUGCUUUCUUGCUUUUCUCCAACACGUUUCUUUCAUUCUACUUUCGUCUGUAAUUCUUCUUUUCUUUUUCUUACGUUCACUUGUCUUUUCAACACUACUAGUUUCUUUAGUGUUUCCCUGUGAAACAACAUUACUUUUCACUUUCCCUUUCGUUUUUAUGCCAUUUUCCUCAAGGUUCUCUACUUCGUUUUCUUCUCUUUUCCUCUCAACAUCAUUUACUUCCUCAGUAUGUCCUUUCGAAAGAACUUUUUUCUUCUUUCCUUUGAUUUUCCUUUUCUUUUUUAUGCGUUUUUCCCUGAUGAUGUUGUCAACCUUAUCUCCUUUCAAUUUCUUUCUUUUCUCUUUGCUCCCCUCAUCAUCCAUCAAUUCAAAUGUUUCAUCUUGGUCAGAAUUAUCGGAAGCAUUUUCGUCUUCAUCACCUUGUCCUUCCUUUGUUUCUUCCGCAGUUACUGCCUUCAGUUUUCUCAACCGUUCUGGUGUAUUUUCAUGUUCCUCAGCUCCUCAUUCAUGUCUUCUCUUACUCUUCCAUCGUUCAAAAACCAUGGAUUUUCCGAACUAUCACCGACCAGUCCAAAAUUUCUAAAAUUCUCGGGAAUCUCCGCGCUAUCUUUGGCUUUAUUUGCCUCCUCUCUGACAACAUGUUUGUGGGGUAUAUGAUAUACUCGUUCACCAUUCGGUUUCACUGGUGCACCUUCAAUGAUACCCGAUUCUAAUUGCUUCUCGAUUGUUUCAUCAUAAUUGUUGUUUACCUUCUCAUCUCGCUCGAUCUUUUUGCAUACGUUAGCUAAUCGCUUUCCACUUGGUUCUAGAUUGCUAUUUGGUAAAGACUGUCCUGGAAUCGAUGGUACUUUGACUUGAUAUCUACCGUCAUCAGCCCGAGUAAUGUUUUCUUUAAAUUCAUGAUAAACGUCCAGUUGGUCGUUCUCCCCUCUACCUUCAAUUCCAACUACAUCCAGUGUAUAAAAUUGCUCGUAGUCAUUUGGUUCUCUUGUAAACAUACACACAUUGUUCGAAAUAUCUCCACCAUGAACAAUCCAACCAAACGAAGUACCUUCAACGAUAGGAUCGUCAUCUUUUCCUUUGUAGAUUUCCUCUGUCUUAAUCUUGCAGAAGGUGUUGUCACCUAAGAUCAUGUGUAUUGGAUAUUCACCAUCUCUUGUCAUGAAAACCUCUUAUCCUUUGUGUGUUCAUAAUUCCAUUUAAGUUUGUUCAUGUCCGGUCUUUUCACUGUUGUGAAAUCUUUCAUUGUCGACCCGGCUAGCUCUAUAUCUUCCUUGGUUGAUCCAUCUAAUGAUUCAAUAGUUACAUUGUAAAUAGGCAUGGACUGUCUUUUUGUUCCAUUAAUGGUGAUGGUUUCUUUCGAUUCAUGUCGUGCUGCAGAAACUUGAAGUUUCUUU